Molecule: long non-coding RNA, 585 nt
Organism: Seriola aureovittata
Lineage: Eukaryota; Metazoa; Chordata; Actinopteri; Carangiformes; Carangidae
Exons: 3
Source: RefSeq, a predicted model, not a curated record
CCCACAAUGAGGACAUUACACAUCGCACAGAUUUACGGAGUCACACAAAAGCAAUUAGUUUGUCUCCGAGCCGUCAGCAGCAGUAUGGAUUCACUAAAAGCGCCUGUCACAACUAAAUGAUGUGAGCAGCUUGAGCCUGAGAAGGAGCCAAACUUACCUGACUUCAGCUCUUGACAAAAAAAGAAACCCGACGACUUUGCUGCUGAGCUGAAACUGCUAAUUUCUGGGACCAGCCUUUUUUUGGCUGUGAACUGGAUGGAUGAAUGGCUUGUCUCGCACAAAUGACAAAAAGCCCCUGCCUUAAUCUCCAUCGCCAAAAUAACCCCUCAUCUCAUUCUGCUCCUGCUAGUCCUUCAAAAGAAGGUGCUCUACACAAACUCAAGUUUUGCAUCUGUAUUAUAAAUACAACAUACACCACCAUGUCCUCACUAUGUUUAUAAUGUUGAAUUAAAGCAUGUAAAAGGUCCUUCUUCAUUUCACAUGCGAGAAAAGCAUCUGGCCAAAUAACACUAUGAAACACAAAACAUAACCGAAGUGAUGUAAAGUUAUAAAACAACAUGCAGAAAAAUAAAGUCUAACACAAUA